UAGCUUGGCCUUUUUCGAUUUCCUAUUUAGCGCUUUGAAUUCUUCUGCUGUUCCUACCUAGCGUUGAGGCCAUAGGGCUUUCUUGUAAAGAAGUUCGAAUUAUAAUAAAGUAACGGUUCGGGAGAGCCUAUGCGGAAGCCUUUUUUUUUCCUUCUUCAGCUUGCUUUCCUGCGUCUCUUAUGAUGGUUUGCUUGCUAACGUAACGAGCAGAGGGAGGGCGUGCUACGAGCUUCCGGUGGACCAAGUUCUUAUAAAACAACGUAUUUUCUGAUCUACAUCUCAUGCAAGAUGCUGGGUGGCAUGGAACUACUGGUAAUUAAUCCAUCUGCUGAUGGU
RNAcentral lists this long non-coding RNA (336 nucleotides) under Solanum pimpinellifolium. RNAcentral's name for it is "long non-coding RNA (SPIM_LNC000283)". Lineage: Eukaryota; Viridiplantae; Streptophyta; Magnoliopsida; Solanales; Solanaceae. The record is from RNAcentral.